Molecule: long non-coding RNA, 6712 nt
Organism: Anolis carolinensis (green anole)
Lineage: Eukaryota; Metazoa; Chordata; Lepidosauria; Squamata; Anolidae
Exons: 2
Source: RefSeq, a predicted model, not a curated record
UUGUGGGCUGACUGCUUUGCACACUGAUCUAAGUGCUCAGUGUAGAUGUACCCAUGAUCCUCUUAUAAUUUAAAGCCCUUUGAAAUAACUAGUAGAAUAAUUGCAUAUUUUUCUGUGAUAGUACGUAUUCCCACUACCUACCACAUCCAUUCUCUGUUGAAUUUUGAGAAAACUGUGCAAGGAAAUUCAUUCAUGCUGGACUACUUUAAUAAUGGCAGCAAUACAAUUAACCUGUGAGCUUCUCUCUCAUCAUAUAUUGUACCCUCAAGAAAUUACUUGGAUAGCUUUAAUUAUGUUUGUGCCUUUACUUUCAACCCUCUUUUAUCUUUUUUUUCAUUUCCUUUUAGGAUGGGGGAAGGGUCUCAGAUUCUCUGAAGGCUCUUUGUUUUCCUUGCUCAGGUAUUAAAUUGAUGGCACAACAAUCUUGGAAUACAUUAGGUCCACUUCCCUGCUCUGUCUAAAUGUAGGCCUUGUAUUAUCUUUCACUCCCCCUCCUUCUGUGUUCACCAUUUUCCACCAAGUGUAAAUCUUAUGCAGGGCACCUAAAGAAUGAGCUGCAGGAAUGUACCAGAACAGAGACAAAUUGUUCAUACUGUGUGAAGAAGGAAAAAGAAAAGAGGAGGGAGGACGAUGAAGGGGGCAGUUGGGAAGAGAAGAAAAGCAUCCCUUGUCAGUUGAGGUUCUUUGGAGAUAUGUGGAGAAUAGCAAAGUUGAUUUUUUUAAUGAGAAAAAAAAAUCUCCUUCCAACAAGAGCAUGGCUUUGCCGGCACAGUGGCCUGCACAGAAAGGUGACAUUUGAGAGAACAAUUGCUAGGCUGUUUCUCCAUGCCUGCUGCUAUGAAAGAGGCUUAAGAAAAGGUGUCCUUGGACUGGUGUUAAUAGUCAUCUUCAUCAUUCCUUCCUUCAUGUGCGCUCUAGCAAACACUGCUUUAUGAAAUAGGGGCACACUGCUAAUAAACAAAGCACUAUAAAAGAUCAGAUGGUAGUACUCUCCAGCCUCACUUCCUCUCUGCUCGAAGGACGACAGCAGCCGCCUCCUGACUGCCAUAGCUCUCUUUGCAUUACUAUCCCAUCUGUUCUGAGUUAUCCUUUUAGGCCUUUCUUUAUCUCAGUUUUGUUAAUCCUGGUUAUUUUUCCAGGCUAGAAAACAAGCUUAACAUAAUGGCAAAACAAUUUGGUAUGGAGCAUGCCACUAUUCUGUUUGGAAGAGACUUUAGCUUUCACUUUUGUUUUGUUUUCAAAACCACCUUUUGAGCAUCUGUUUUUCAAAGCUGGAAAUUUGAACCUUGGCUAGUGGGAAAUACACAAUGAUCUCUUGGUAAGACAAUCUGCAGUGAAGGCCUAGUUGGCUUCUGAAACACUUGCUGGACACCUUACCAGCUACAUUAGGACAAGGUUAACAAAAGGAGAAAACAACUAUAAUGGCAUUUUUCUAUACCAAAGACUGUAAAGGGUCCUAACCUGUGGAAAAGUCACCAACAUGCUAUGCUGCAAUAUACAGAGAAGGCCACUGGGAUCUUAUUGAAGAUACAAUUCAGAAAAGAAAGCAAGCCACAUCCUACUUGCCCUGGAGAGCUGAAAUGUACCUUCUGUCUUUUUUUCAGGAAUGAAAAAGAAUUUACGUGGAAUAGCCAGAACAGAAGGACUUAUGAGCAAUACACUGGCUUUAUCCCAAGGCAAAAGAGGUGGAACUGGCAUACCUUGUGGAAGAAAAAACAAAGAUCCACCCAGGUUCAUUUCAUCCAUAACAUGAUCAGAUGAUGCUUGCUUGCUACCAUGACAUACCCACAUGGCACCUGAUGGGAGAUUUUCUAAACCUGUUUCACAUCCCUCAUGGGCACGUUUAGCCAGAAACACACCCUUACACAGCUUUCUAUAUUUGACAUGCAGCAGUUGGAAAGAUACAGGGUAAUCUCUCAUGAUUAUGUCUCAUUGCAGGAGACUACACAAAAACAUAUGCUCAGAAAACAAUUGAUAGAGGUUUCUAAAAUUAUACACAAGAGGAGAAACAGGAUGCAGAGAAUUUUUCUCCUUCUCUGGAUCACUAACCUCAGGCUCACACAUUUCAUGACAGAUUCAAGGCCAAUGAAAUGGAAUUUUCAAUGAAUGCAAAAAUAAAGUAAAGGAAUUUUCUGCCAUAAAUAUGUGAUGAUGAUGCUUGCAGUUGACUUGAAUUGCUUAAAAAGUGGUUUGAUAAAUUCAUGGCUGAGAAGAGGACUAUCAGCAAUUAUGCCCCUGAUAGCUAAUCAAACCAAUAUCAGACAGAGCUUGGAAAUAAUGCAUUUUGAGUAAUGUUAUUUAGAAGCAGAAAGACAAUGGAGCAAAUGCUCUUUCUUCCUAUCAAGUUAAAGCAUUACAUUGUGGAAAAACAUGUUACAUGUUAUUCCCCCAGUUUGAUAUUUUACGGUCACUGAAGUGGAAAGCUUGGCUAUUUUUUGUCCUUUCUGCUACAUUUUAAAAUUAAAACAUUAAUUGUACAUUAUGAACACAGUACCCAACUUUUUAAUAUUGAUGAUUGAGAUCUUUGGCUAUAGACAUAGUUAUGAAUGUAUAUCUACAAUUUUUCUUCCUAAGUCUGUCUUAACAACCAGCAGUUGCAUCAAAAGAGGGAAUUAUUUUCUGCUGGUGUUCAGGACACUGCAAGAUGGUGUUUUCAGCUCUCUAAAACCACAAUUUGUGCUGUGACAAUCAGAAACAAGACUCCAUCAUAUUUUCGUACUGUAGCUUGGGAAGGGGUUGGCUAUGUCAUCCUAAUGGAAUUGAUUUCCAUUGCUCAAUGUAGCUGCUAACUGCUAAGGUAGGUUGGAUAGAGGGGGGUAGCAUUUGUAUUUCUAGUGGAAGUACCACAGUUGUAAAUAUGAACAUGAAGGAGUAACAAAAGGUUUAUGUAUCUGUAACUGCUCAACAGGAUGCCAGCCAAUAUAGUACAAUCUCUGUAUCAAUGUAAUGCCAGACUACCCCCCCCCCCAGCUAAAACCAUGAAUAAUAAUGAGUCCUAGAUUUUGAUUAUAUAUGGGCUAGAAGUAUACUAUAGAAUCACACUGAAGAAUCUGAAGAGACCCACAAACCUUUCUGGGGAGUAGGGAGAGGUUAUUUUUUGGAAUAUGGGUAAGUAAAAUAUUGAGCAUGGGGUGUACUAUAUGUUAUAAAUAUUAUAGCACUAUAUUAGCCAUUUUACAUAUUAAUUCUAGGUUCUGGUGGUGGAAUAUGGUAUCCCAUUCUUGAUCAGAUGCAGGAAGAGCAAGUCUAGGGUAAGGGCUCAUUCCAGGAGUGAGGAUGUACUUGACCACUUGCAAUCUAGGGGUCCUUCCAGACCCUAUGAGAUUUUUACCUGAGGUAUCCAAAUAAUGCCUCAGGUAAAAGCGAAGUAAUUCAAGACCAAAUUAUUUAGAUACCUCAUUAGAUCUUGGUUUUCCCUCAAAUGCCCAGUACUAAUGGGGUAUGAGUCCUGUGGGCAUUCAUUCCGUGUAGUCCUGGGACUAUCCAGGGGCCCAUCCCCACAGCCCACCUUGGUUCUUUGGGUUUCCAGGAGGGUGACCCCUCCCCAACCCCCCAAAAGCCUUAAAAUAAAGGAAAACUUACCAGGUUGCAGGCCUCCUGGAGCAUACCAAUGACAUACUAGGAGGUGCCAAGGGGAUCACUCCUGCCCCGCACUCCCAGCGCUUCAUUUGUACAUACCAGAAGGCCUGCAGAAAGUCUAAUGGCAACCUGGUAAGUUUUCUUUUGUUUUAAGGCUUUUUUAGGCAGGGUGGUGGUGGUGGUGGCAAUUUUUGGGAUUGUAUGAGCACAGCUAGUGGGCGAAGUCCAUUUUUUCCCCCUGGGUUUGGGGACUUAAACUGGUUUAAACUGCUCUGAAGCGAUUUAAUGUAUGUCUGGAAGCACCCUAGGAGUCCCCCUAUGAGGCCAUCUACUUCUGACAACAGUAGUAGUAGCUGUGAAAUCACCACUGCCAGGUAUUUGAAAGCCUGUAAGUGAUUAAAUUUAUGUCUGCUGAAAUUCAUUUAAUUAACUUGAUGCCAGUACUCCGUUCUCCUAAGAUCAUCUUCCAUCUUGAGUCUGUCUUCUUCAAUAUUAGCAACCCUUCCUAAUUUUCUGUCAUAUUUCAAAUCAAAGUGAUUUGAGGAGGAGCACUGAUAUUAAAAUCAGAAACUAUUAUUUGUGACUAUGGCUACCAUCCUCCUCCUCCUCAUCAUCAACAACAUCAACAUCCAGGUUUGUUCUGGUUUCAGAAGAGAAUUUUGAAUUAUUGUAUAAAAGAUGGUAUUCUGUUGUCUGAUCAGUAGUAGCUAGCACCAAACUUUCCAGUUCUGUACAAAGUGAAUCAAAGUUCUCUGUCAUUUUUGUCACUACAGGAAGAGUAGCACCUGCUUUCCAAAAAUGACACAUGCUGGUAGCUCAUAAUAAGGAUCUACAAACUCCAUCAUGCAGCCUUUUGUGGCAGUUGGGAGGAAGGGGGAAACAACUGGUACUGCCUUCUCUAUUUUCUCUAUUAUCUCCCACCACUCGUGAAGUAAAAAACUAUGAAAAGUGAAAAGGUUCAACACUCCAUUUCUUCUCAAAAGAGUAGAAUUAUAUGCUUUUACAAAAACGAUGUUCUAUGUCUGCCAAAUACUUAAACAGUGUGUGUGCAUGCCCGCACUAGGGGAAAAAAGAGAGAGAGAUAGGGGGAAAAAGAGAGAGGGGAGGAACUCUGGAAUAAAGGAAGGAAGCAGCUGUUGAGUUUGUGUAAAAUACAGUUACAAAGAAAAAGAAAUAGAAAAUUGCUAACAAAACCACAGAAGGAAAAAUAAUAUAAUUUUCCCCUUUUAAAUAGAAAACUGCAAAGUUUGCCACAUUUCAUAAAAAUAAUCUUACAGGGAUUUUCAUGCAAUAUGAAUUCAUUGCCUCAGUAGUUUAAAUAAUAUUAAUAUUAACCGCAGUCAACAAUAUGUUCUAAUAAAAAGUUAUAGCUCUUUGUUGAUAUUAUUAUUAUUAUUAUUAUUAUUAUUAUUAUUAUUAUUAUUAUUAUUAGGAAGAAUUUGUGUAUUUGGGAAGGGGAAUGCUGAGGCUGUGUUGUGGAUUUGUGGCUGAAGAUUUAAAGUGAAGUGCAAUGUCCUUCCAAGGCUCUGAACUGAAACAGUUCUCUAUCCAAAUCAACAAGGCUGGUUCUGAACUAAGUACUUUUCUCAGAACUAGUUGCCAGCUUUUCUGGAUUUUCUCAUUGAUCAGCAAUCUUUUGGCUUUCUCUGAUGACUUGUAGUUAUAUUUGAGAUCAGUGAUUUAAGAGCUGUUUAUUGUUGAUUGCCCUUAACCUUACUUAGGCUGACCUUAUGAAUGAGAGACCUUGUUGUAUCGCAGUCUGCAUCUGAGCUGUCAGGUGAGCCUUGUGAGCCUUGGGUUGGGCCUGUUCAGCCUGUGAUUGUACUAGCAUCUGACAAGUCAAAAGACUCUGGGUUGGAGCCUAGAAUUCCCAUGCAGCCGGAUGAGACCGCUGUUCCUGGACAGCCAGAGUUAGAGGAGGUUGCUGCCCCUGAGGAUUCUGGGAACAAGCACACAAUGUUUUAAAGCAGGCAGCUUGAACUGAUUCCUUGGGAGAGUGAAGGUCGAACUUUCCCUUGCUAGAUGGGCAUUUCAGUUGUGCUAAGACUAACGGGAUUGACAGAAAGAAAGCUAUAUGUGAACAGAGACAAGAAAGGGAGGUUUUGAGAUGCAGAAAAAGGCUGUUAAUGAGAAAAGGUUUUGAACAAACUUUCCACAGAAAGAAGCCUUGAUUUCAGCUUCAAGAGGAACUGCUUCUGAGAGAGAUUUUCAGAGGUGGUAACUUUGCUCAUUGAGCAUGGUUCCUGUUCAUGGACUCAUGUUAUCCUGUUUCAUGUUCCUGUGGGUUUUCAUGUAGCCUUGUAUCUUGAGUUUUGUUCCAAUCUUGGUUCUUGUUCCUGGGGAUUUUGGAUUACUAAGUUAUUGUUCCUGUAAGCCUUGCAGUUUGCAUCUCUUGUUCCAGUUAAAGAUAUUUUAUUUGUUCCAGUUUUGUUCCUGUGCCUUGGACUAAUUUUGAUACCUUGUUUGAAGUUUAUUCUUGUUUUUGAUUUCCAUGGACCCUUGCUUCAAGUACCUGAUGGACUAAAACCUUGUUUCAUUGACUUUGAACUUUGAUUUGCUUCUGCUUACAUAUAUCUAUAUAUAUAAAAGGAUUAUGGAAUCGCGGCACCGAGCAAAACAACAAAAGUAAAGGCCCCCCAACCUCGAAAUUUGACAACACAACCCAUCAUCCAAGCCUUAAGGUUGAAACAACACAAAAUCACGUCACACACCUCCACAUGGACAGAAUCCACAACGCACCAUCGGGAGCCAUGCCGGGAGGGAGGGAAAGAGAAAGCAUAAUGGCCGGCCGGCAAGAGGGAAGGCAGGCAAUGGGAAAAAGCUGUCCCCUGGGUCCUAGCGCCCGCCCAUCAUCCGAAUUAUUUACAGUAGAGUCUUACUUAUCCAAGCCUCGCUUAUCCAAGUUUCUGGAUUAUCCAGGCUGGCAGGGAAGAGGAAAGGCAGGCAAUGGGAAAAAGUUGUCCCCUGGGUCCUAGCGCCCGCCCAUCAUCCGAAUUAUUUACAGUAGAGUUUCACUUAUCCAAGCCUCGCUUAUCCAAGUUUCUGGAUUAUCCAAGCCAUUUUUGUAGUCAAUGUUUUCAAUAUAUCAUGAUAUUUUGGUGCUAAAUUCGUAAAUAAAGUAAUUACAACAUAA